Molecule: long non-coding RNA, 144 nt
Organism: Empidonax traillii (willow flycatcher)
Lineage: Eukaryota; Metazoa; Chordata; Aves; Passeriformes; Tyrannidae
Exons: 3
Source: RefSeq, a predicted model, not a curated record
UUUCUUGCUGCUGUUCUUGGUCUUUCUGCUUGUGGGCCAAGUGGAUCUGUGUAGGAGGCAUCUGGGAUUUAAAUAAAUACAUUUGAAAUGGUUACCUGCAAGUAAUUUUUAUCACUGCACAUCUUUGUUUCAGACAUACAAAAU